CUAUUGGUUCUUUACCAUGGCAGUGCCAGUACACAAUCGUUUCCAGGCUCUAGUUAACCUACAUGAUCAGGCAGGUAUGGUAAGACAGGUGAAUAAAUUGGCGGCCUUUAUUAAACCCUCCUCGCCCAACCAACAGACUCUGGCAAAGCAGGCUAAAUCCAGUUAUGCGGCUGCAGUGACUAGCAAGUCACCGACUGGCAGGGCCUUAAUGGGAGCCAAGGCCCAUAGGGACUCUGGAAUAUGCAGGAAUACUCCAGGGGGAUCGAGUGACAACUCGGACCUGCAAAGAGUGGAGGGGCUAGCUUCAGACUUACCCCAACAAUCAAGAAGAGUAAGGAGAUAUUUAAUCCCCAAACUCAACGACCAAGAGAGAAUCUGGCCCCACCUAAAGUCCCAGCCUUGAUAAUCCCAGGUUCACAACAAGAUAACCAGCAGGGUACGGUAGCAAUGGAAAACGGAAAAGAAACGGAACCUGGGACAGAACUAAUACUGGAACCUGUAAAAAGGGAUACACUUUUUUAUCCCACAUGUCAUUCUAGAACUGAAAGGAAAAUAAAUGAUU
Oncorhynchus gorbuscha (pink salmon) is the source of this 562-nucleotide long non-coding RNA. RefSeq lists it as uncharacterized. The transcript is spliced from 5 exons. The record is from RefSeq and is a predicted model, not a curated record. NCBI's taxonomy places the organism in Eukaryota, Metazoa, Chordata, Actinopteri, Salmoniformes, Salmonidae.